UGCCAGCAGCCGCGGUAAUACGUAGGAAGCAAGCGUUAUCCGGAUUUACUGGGCGUAAAGUGGACGUAGGCGGUCUUUCAAGUCGGAUGUGAAAUCUCCUGGCUUAACUGGGAGGGGUCAUCCGAUACUGUUGGACUAGAGGACAUCAGGGGAAGGUGGAAUUCCCGGUGUAGUGGUGAAAUGCGUAGAUAUCGGGAGGAACACCAGUGGCGAAGGCGGCCUUCCAGGAUGUUUCUGACGCUGAGGUCCGAAAGUGUGGGGAGCGAACAGGAUUAGAUACCCUGGUAGUCCACACCGUAAACUAUGGAUACUAGGUAUAGGGAGUUUCGACCCUCUCUGUGCCGAAGCCAACGCUUUAAGUAUCCCGCCUGGGGACUACGGCCGCAAGGUUAAAACUCAAAGGAAUUGACGGGGGCCCGCACAAGG
RNAcentral lists this ribosomal RNA (426 nucleotides) under uncultured bacterium. RNAcentral's name for it is "bacterial SSU rRNA". It matches the Rfam family "Bacterial small subunit ribosomal RNA", at positions 506 to 930 of the family's 1533-position model. The record is from RNAcentral.